UGGGGAAUAUUGGACAAUGGGCGCAAGCCUGAUCCAGCCAUGCCACGUGAGUGAUGAAGGCCCUAGGGUUGUAAAGCUCUUUCACCGGUGAAGAUAAUGACGGUAACCGGAGAAGAAGCCCCGGCUAACUUCGUGCCAGCAGCCGCGGUAAUACGAAGGGGGCUAGCGUUGUUCGGAUUUACUGGGCGUAAAGCGCACGUAGGCGGACUUUUAAGUCAGGGGUGAAAUCCCGGGGCUCAACCCCGGAACUGCCUUUGAUACUGGAAGUCUUGAGUAUGGUAGAGGUGAGUGGAAUUCCGAGUGUAGAGGUGAAAUUCGUAGAUAUUCGGAGGAACACCAGUGGCGAAGGCGGCUCACUGGACCAUUACUGACGCUGAGGUGCGAAAGCGUGGGGAGCAAACAGG
RNAcentral lists this ribosomal RNA (404 nucleotides) under Pseudomonas sp. Its description in RNAcentral is "partial 16S ribosomal RNA". It matches the Rfam family "Bacterial small subunit ribosomal RNA", at positions 355 to 776 of the family's 1533-position model. The record is from RNAcentral. Lineage: Bacteria; Pseudomonadati; Pseudomonadota; Gammaproteobacteria; Pseudomonadales; Pseudomonadaceae. RNAcentral also lists the same sequence under 3 other names.